This 520-nucleotide ribosomal RNA is filed under the name uncultured bacterium. Its description in RNAcentral is "bacterial SSU rRNA". It matches the Rfam family "Bacterial small subunit ribosomal RNA", at positions 232 to 764 of the family's 1533-position model. The record is from RNAcentral.
CGCGGCCUAUCAGCUUGUUGGUGGGGUGAUGGCCUACCAAGGCGACGACGGGUAGCCGGCCUGAGAGGGCGACCGGCCACACUGGGACUGAGACACGGCCCAGACUCCUACGGGAGGCAGCAGUGGGGAACAUUGCGCAAUGGGCGGAAGCCUGACGCAGCGACGCCGCGUGGGGGAUGACGGCCUUCGGGUUGUAAACCUCUUUCAGCAGGGACGAAGCGAAAGUGACGGUACCUGCAGAAGAAGCCCCGGCCAACUACGUGCCAGCAGCCGCGGUAAUACGUAGGGGGCUAGCGUUGUCCGGAUUUAUUGGGCGUAAAGAGCUCGUAGGCUGCUUCGCAAGUCGGACGUGAAAUCCCACGGCUUAACUGUGGGGGGCCGUUCGAUACUACGAGGCUAGAGGCCGGUAGGGGGACGUGGAAUUCCUGGUGUAGCGGUGAAAUGCGCAGAUAUCAGGAGGAACACCGGUGGCGAAGGCGGCGUCCUGGGCCGGUCCUGACGCUGAGGAGCGAAAGCUGGG